RNAcentral lists this transfer RNA (64 nucleotides) under Musculium lacustre. RNAcentral describes it as "tRNA-Asn". Lineage: Eukaryota; Metazoa; Mollusca; Bivalvia; Venerida; Sphaeriidae. The record is from RNAcentral.
AAAGAUUUAGUUUAUAGAGAAUUUUCUACUGUUAAUUGAAAGGUGUAUUUAAGUACAGUCUUUU